CGGAUCAGCAUGCCGCGGUGAAUACGUUCCCGGGCCUCGUACACACCGCCCGUCACACCAUGGGAGUCGGUAACACCCGAAGCCGAUAGUCUAACGAAAGAGGACGUCGUCGAAGGUGGGAUUGAUGACUGGGGUGAAGUCGUAACAAGGUACC
This 154-nucleotide ribosomal RNA is filed under the name uncultured bacterium. Its description in RNAcentral is "partial 16S ribosomal RNA". It matches the Rfam family "Bacterial small subunit ribosomal RNA", at positions 1345 to 1500 of the family's 1533-position model. The record is from RNAcentral.